CUACCAUGCAGUCGGACGGUAGCACCUAGAGCUUGUUCUCGGGUGACAAGUGGCGGACGGGUGAGUAAUGUCUGGGGAUCUGCCCGAUAGAGGGGGAUAACCACUGGAAACGGUGGCUAAUACCGCAUAACGUCCCGAAACCAAAGAGGGGGACCUUGGGGCCUCUCACUAUCGCAUGAACCCCGAUGGGAUUAGAUAGUAUGCGGGGUAAUGGCCCACCUAGGGGACUAUCCCUACCUGGUCUGAAAGGAUGACCACCCACACUGGAACUGAAACACGGUCCAUACUCCUACGGGAGGCACCAGUGGGGAAUAUUGCGCAAUGGGCGCAAGCCUGAUGCAACCAUGCCGCGUGUGUGAAAAAAGCCUUCGGGUUGUGAAGUACUUUCUCCGGGGAGGAAGGCGAGGCGGUUAAUAACCGCGUCUAUUGACGUUACCCGCAGAACAAUCACCGGCUAACUCCGUGCCACCACCCGCGGUAAUACGGAGGGUGCCAGCGUUAUUCGGAAUUACUGGGCGUAAAGCGCACGCAUGCGGUCUGUUAAGUCAGAUGUGAAAUCCCCGGGCUUAACCUGGGAACUGCAUUUGAAACUGGCAAGCUUGAGUCUUGUAUAGGGGGGUAGAAUUCCAGGUGUAACGGUGAAAUGCC
This 648-nucleotide ribosomal RNA is filed under the name Pantoea sp. AIR-R2A-I-3. RNAcentral's name for it is "bacterial SSU rRNA". It matches the Rfam family "Bacterial small subunit ribosomal RNA", at positions 48 to 690 of the family's 1533-position model. The record is from RNAcentral. Lineage: Bacteria; Pseudomonadati; Pseudomonadota; Gammaproteobacteria; Enterobacterales; Erwiniaceae.